AACGCGAAGAACCUUACCUGGGCUUGACAUGUUUUUGACAGUGUAAGAAAUUACAUCUUCUCGCAAGAGACAAUUUCACAGGUGCUGCAUGGCUGUCGUCAGCUCGUGCCGUGAGGUGUUGGGUUAAGUCCCGCAACGAGCGCAACCCUUGUCGUUAGUUGCCAUCAGGUAAUGCUGGGCACUCUAGCGAGACUGCCUGAGUUAAUCAGGAGGAAGGUGAGGAUGACGUCAAGUCCGCAUGGCCUUUAUGCCCAGGGCUACACACGUACUACAAUGGUCGGUACAGAAGGCAGCGAAGUCGUGAGAUGGAGCAAAUCCUCAAAGCCGGCCUCAGUUCAGAUUGUAGUCUGCAACUCGACUACAUGAAGAUGGAAUUGCUAGUAAUGGCGAGUCAGCAAUAUCGCCGUGAAUACGUUUCCGGGCCUUGUACACACCGCACGA
Molecule: ribosomal RNA, 441 nt
Filed under: uncultured bacterium
Lineage: Bacteria
Description: bacterial SSU rRNA
Rfam family: Bacterial small subunit ribosomal RNA
Source: RNAcentral